GUUAGCUGUGAUCUCAUUCUGUCUCACAGACGUAGGCUAAUCAGGGUUGGGCUUGGUUAGUACUUAGACUGCAGAUGUCUAAGGAAAACAGAGAUGCUGCAAGAA
This 105-nucleotide ribosomal RNA is filed under the name Chelonoidis abingdonii (Abingdon island giant tortoise). Lineage: Eukaryota; Metazoa; Chordata; Testudines; Testudinidae. The record is from RNAcentral.